This 658-nucleotide long non-coding RNA is filed under the name Elaeis guineensis (African oil palm). Its description in RNAcentral is "long non-coding RNA (EGUI_LNC054024)". The record is from RNAcentral. Lineage: Eukaryota; Viridiplantae; Streptophyta; Magnoliopsida; Arecales; Arecaceae.
UAGAGGAUGGUUUGGCACAGGUUCAGAGCCGAGGGAUGUAGGGAUAGAUGUUUGAUUCCAACACCAGCAGCAAUGAUGCAUUGCAUGGAUCUAUGCGAGAUUACAGGCACCGUGGAUCAAGGCUCCAGGGAGACCAUGUCAGAUGGGUAGUUUGUAGUGAGAGUGGAUCUAGAUACCUAUAAGGAGGCUGAGGAGAGUCUCGAGAGAGAUAGGUGGGUCUAGGAUAGGUGAGCUGCAAAACCCUCUAGGAGAAGUUGAAGCGAUGAUUGGUGCAAGUGCAGAAAGGAAAGACUCAGAUUUUCAAGAUUCAGUCAUUGGCUCAGAAGAGUUGGAUGAGCUCUUAUUAGUUUUGGAGGAGCCUGUGGGGUGCAGAGGAUCCGAAAUGGCCUAGGAGGGAUCCACAGGAUGCGGAAGGUUCGAAGGGGCAGCGACGGUGAUUAAGGUACAAUGACAAAUCCAGCAGGACAGCAUUGGAUGGUUGGCCUUGGGUGAGAUGGGUAUAGAGUCGACUUCUGUAACAUCAAGAGGACUUCAAUUUCAAGUGGAGCAUCGGACAGAGGUGGCAUCACAAGUGGAGAUGGAUUUUAGCACAUGUUCAGAACGGAGGGGUGCAAGAGGAGAAACGAUAUCCCAGCAUCAAUGCCAGGGCUACACAGAG